UACAGAGGUCUCAAGCGUUGUUCGGAUUCAUUGGGCGUAAAGCGCGUGUAGGCGGCCCGGUAAGUCCGCUGUGAAAGUCGGGGGCUCAACCCUCGAAAGCCGGUGGAUACUGUCGGGCUAGAGUACGGAAGAGGCGAGUGGAAUUCCUGGUGUAGCGGUGAAAUGCGCAGAUAUCAGGAGGAACACCCAUUGCGAAGGCAGCUCGCUGGGACGUUACUGACGCUGAGACGCGAAAGCGUGGGGAGCAAACAGG
This 253-nucleotide ribosomal RNA is filed under the name uncultured bacterium. Its description in RNAcentral is "partial 16S ribosomal RNA". It matches the Rfam family "Bacterial small subunit ribosomal RNA", at positions 524 to 776 of the family's 1533-position model. The record is from RNAcentral.